This 2057-nucleotide small RNA is filed under the name Pongo abelii (Sumatran orangutan). Its description in RNAcentral is "retained intron". The record is from RNAcentral. Lineage: Eukaryota; Metazoa; Chordata; Mammalia; Primates; Hominidae.
AACAGUCCAUGCUCUACCCUGGCUCCUGUCUGGCAGAGGAGACGGACAUUACACACGAUUUCAGACCCAGCAGGCUGUGGGCUGCUCAUAAGUGAGGGCUACUGGAUGCAGAGGAGGGAAGGGAUCUGGGAGGUAGAUGUGGGAUCAGACCUGCAUCUUGAAGGAUGAGUAGGAUGCUGACGGGCAGAGAAAGCAGGCAGGGCAGAAAUAGCAAGCAGGGCGUUCCUAGCAGGCGACACAGCCUGGGGAAAGGCACAGGGCAGCCAGCUGCUGGGCUGUUGGGCCCAGGGCAGUGGCAGAUGGGGACAGGGAGCCGGUAGUGUUAUGGUUGGUUUGAAAGACAGGGUCUGCAGCUUAGCAUCAUCGCCACGCUGUCUGCAUCCUUGGAGAAGAGAUUAAUGGGACUUGUCCUUCCUCUUUUGUAGCCCGCUCCCAAAAGACUUCAGGCAUCGGGCGCCUGAUGGUGCAUGUCAUUGAAGCUACAGAAUUAAAAGCCUGCAAACCAAAUGGAAAGAGCAACCCAUACUGUGAAAUCAGCAUGGGCUCCCAGAGCUACACCACCAGGACCAUCCAGGACACACUCAAUCCCAAGUGGAAUUUUAACUGCCAGUUCUUUGUUAAGGAUCUCUACCAAGAUGUGCUGUGUCUCACCCUGUUUGACAGAGACCAGUUUUCACCAGAUGGUAAGUGUCGCUCAGCCAGGGGAUCUAGAGGCUUUCCCAGUUUCCUAGAUCCUGGAGUCCAGAUCCAGGGGCCUCAGCUGUGUACAGACCCCAUGCCACUUCAGGGAAGUGACACAGGCCUUGUCAUCUCGCUUUGGCAGCAGGUGGGUGGCCUUCCUCAGGGAAGGAGGUGGCCUGAGAUGUGUUUCAGGUCUUUGACCCAUCACUCCCUACACACAGGAUGUGAACACCACUCCUGGAGCAUUCUCAGAAUGGAGAUUUGAAUUUCCAUGUGGCAGCUUCUCACACACAAACCUGCCAUCAUUCCCCACACACCCACUCACGAUAUUCAACAGCCAUGAGCCAAAAGUAGUUCCUUGUUUCAGAUUUGAAGGUUUUACGAAUCCUACUUCUUCCGGAUGUAGCUCUUUAAUGAUUUUAUAAAGAAAGACUUCUGACUCCCCUGUGUUUAUUCACCAGAUUUCCUGGGUCGUACUGAAAUUCCAGUGGCAAAAAUUCGAACAGAACAGGAAAGCAAAGGCCCUAUGACCCGCCGACUGCUGCUGCACGAGGUCCCCACCGGGGAGGUCUGGGUCCGCUUUGACCUGCAGCUUUUUGAGCAAAAAACUCUCUUGUAGGGGUUCUAAAGGACAGCACCAGCGGGACAGCCCACAAGGCUGGGGCUGGAGAAUGAGAGACUGCGCUCUCUUGGGGCUGAGGGAGCACCAUGCAGCUUCACCCCUCACAAAGCCACGCACGCUGGGGGCUCUGUUUUCCUGCACACUAAAUAGCUAGCAAUCUAUGCAAACACCUUUCCCGUAAAGAAACCAAACCCCAUAGUACAGUGCCUUGUCCUAGUGUUCACAUGUUCAGCUCUGUUUAGAUGCCAAGGUUUCCAUUUUCAGGGCUAUAAAAAGUAUUACAUGGAAAUGAGGCAUCAGACCACCAGAUGUUACCGCUCAGUUGAAUGUGUCCACCGUGGAGUGGUUUGGUGACGCUGUAACCAUUCCAUGCCAGUGACCUCUGCUGGGUCACAGCCACUCAGGAGGGGAAGGGUCAGGAUGAGAGGCUGCAGCCUCGACGCCUGUGCGGCCUGAUACUGAAAUAGCAUCUACUCGUGCACUGAAUAAAAACAGAAACUUGAUCAUUUUAUUCCUGAUUAGAUUUUAUCACUCUCUGCUAAGACAAUAUAGUCUGGAGUAUAAGUGGGAAAGCUUGAUUUAAAUACUGUGAACUCUAAUAAUGUGGAAAAUAUUUUUCAACUUUAAUUUUCUGAAGUAUAAAUUAUUUAUGUAAAUUCAUUGUUUUUGCAUAUUUCUUAGGACAUGCAUCUUUAAGCUUUAUCAUUGCCCAUAUGUACAGAAAGAGAAUAAAGACACACGUUUAUGGAUGGAA